CAGUUGACUCGAAGGACACUUUUUAACUUGACUGUUAGUGCCUCCAAGGGUGGAUGUCCAGACCCACGGGCUCUAGGGGCUUCCCAGACUCAGUCUGAGGACAUUGAGCUCCUUAGAGCUCCCCAACUUGCCCCCCUCAUCUCGAGGAUGGCCCCUUUCCUCAGCGUGAGUGGGUCCUCAAGUCCGAUCUUUAAUCUAGCUCAGCCAACCUUCCUGGCGGUGCACCCAUCUCCCAGAGGGUAAGCACAGGGGUCUUCAUACAUUUCUGUGGCCACGCCCUCCUCCGUGUUCCACUACCCGCACGUUUCUUAUCCUGGCAUUUAAGGACUGUGCUGUUUGAGGCAGUUUCCUCUCAAAAUGACUGCCCAACAGGCACUGUCCACUGACUGCUGGCCACCUCCCCAUGCCCACUGGCCUGCUUUUGCCUGUGUAGUUUCCUCUGCCAGGAUCCUGCUCCUCUGUGUGGUGUAGAGGACCUCCUUUCCAUUCCUCCUUGUGUCCCCAUCUCCAGUGCUGGAGGGCCUGUGAUUUGGGAGUCUGCUCCCUAUGGUGUGUGGGUUUAUUGGGAUCAGGAAAAGAAGCCCAGAUACCCAGAGUGGGCAUCUUAAGAACAUUCACGGUUCUUCAGUGUUUUGUUUUGAUGGUCUCAGUUUUAUGUCUCUGUUUCUAAGCGAUUCUAUUCUACGUUUUAUGGUUUCAUGAUCACCUCCUGCCCUUGGGGAUAAGAAAAGAACAUUCAAUGAGGGUUUAGGGGAACUGAGAGGUAAAAUUAGAGGCUUUAUGGGGGGAAGGAGUCCUUCUUGGUUCUGACACCAGAAAACUUGGGAAUGGGAAACAAACUAUUUGUAUUUGGGAGGACUCUGUUGGGCUGUGGAUAGGACAGGGCUGCAGAGAGGGGUCUGAUGGGCUCUGGGCAUUCCCCUAGCAAUAACUCAUGUGCUUCACUCCAGAGGCCCCUGCUGGACAUCCCACUACUGUGGGUGGGGCUACUGAUCCCCUAACUCACCCCAGGCAUCUGGUUAAAGUGCCACCAUGGGGGUGGGGGUGUCACACAUUAACUAGCAGCACCCCAGUGCCUGGCAGAGCCAGCCUGCCCUUCUGACAGGCAAGCCCCAGGGCACCAGGGUCAGUUUCUGGUCAGUUUCAGGUCAGUUUCAAUGGAAAGGACUGUUUGGGUCAGGGGUAUAGGAGUGAGUCCCUGUGGGGAUGCCCCUCUCUGGCCCCAGGCUGAGGCCAAGCAGGAGGAAUCAUGGGAGGUCACUGAAGCUCAGACCUGGAGCAGAGGCUGGACUCUGAUGAAGUGGCUCUAAGCUGACAGGCCCCUGCUGCUGCCACUAGCGAUUGCUGGUUCCUGUUCAUGCACAUUAUGAAGUAGUUGGGGGAAUUGAGGAGGCCACCAUAGCUGUGUACCCCAAGAUGAGGUUCUGAAAACAUGUCCUCCAAUCACACGGCCUUCAAACAAAGUCAAGACUGCAGUGGUCCAAGCGAGAGCUGAGCUGCUUGUGGAGAUCCCACAGCUGGCUUUGGACUGUCCACAGCCUACAUUGUCCAGGACCACAUCUGAACUGUACACGAAGGAAGGGGACCAAGACACCACUCCAGAUCCUCCUGUACCAGGCAAAGGAAGGUGGCACUGUGUAGACCUGGCUGGCUGCCCGAGCCCACCCACCACAUAUCACAGACCUAGAAACGGAGGCUCUGGAGGCCCAUGUCCCCCACCUACCCUGGUUCAAGCUGCUAAUGCAUGUGGAUGAAAGAAACGAGGCUGGGAGUCGGGGUAACCCUGCAUAUGUCCUCUGUGCUGGGCCUUGGUUUCCCCCUGAUGAAUGAGAGGAGACUGGGUAGUGUCUCUCUGGCUGUGCCUGUGGGUGGUCCCCCCAGGACAUCCAGAGUCAGUUGUCCAGAGAGCAGUGGGGCCGCCUGAGGCCUCUCCCUGUGUGUCCCCCUCUGGCUGUCUUCUCCUGUGGCAUUUCUGGCUCAUCUCUGUGGACCCUCCCCCUCCCCCUUUCUUUCUCAAUACUCUUGCCAAACAUCUGGAAGAAAAGUGAAAAACUUGCCCCCCCCCUGCCACCGGAUGCUAGAUUUCCAGAUGUGGGGUGCUCUGCCCUCCAGAUGAGGGGGGGAGUGUUCUGUGUUCCAGCUAGAAGAGGGCCCGGCCCCAACCCUUGCCUGCUGUCCCCUCACCAUGAGGCUGAGGGACAGGACAAGAGCACAGACACUGGCGAGAAAGAGAGCCCAAUAUGGUGGCAAGAUGUCAGAUUCUGUGCCUGGCAUGAGGUGCUCAUGCCACCUCAGCCUUCCCACCUCCCCCCACCUCCCCAGAUGGUGGCCCAGCCAGGCUGGGCUCUGUCACUGCCAUCUGCUAUGGGCCGGGCACUCCAGGUGGGCAUACCAAGCUGGGCACCAGAGGGUAAACUUUGCCCAGACCCCUGGGGUCCCUCAGAGAUUUGGACCCUUCCAGGACCUGCACCAGAAGGGUCGGCAGAGGGCAGCAUGGGGCAGUAGGACAGCAGGCAAGACAGCUUCCUGGGAGAGGGGUAGUGGGGCCUGGAAUGUGCCAGACAGGAGCGGUGAGGGCCGCUGGGCAGAUCUCAGCAUGGACCUACCCAGGGGGAGGCUGGGCUCCACGCAGGGCAGCACACAGAGCCAGGCAGGGGCCUCCCUCACACAGACACAGAUGCCCCUGCAUGGAAGGACACCCAGACAAUGCCCAGACCGGUGCAGACCUCUCCUCUCCACAAAGACACACAGACACAGUGUGUGCAGGGGUCUGGCGGGAAGCAGGCCCUGACGUGUGUGGGGAAAGUGGGUCACCAUGGGGCUGUUGGAAAGGGGCAGUAGGAAGUGAAAGGGUGAGAUUGGCAAACUGGCCUUGGGGGCAGGCAGGUGCUGUUGUAGGAGGCUGUGGAGGCUGUCGGCUGUUGGACUGGCUGCGUGACUGCCCUCAGGGAGUGGCACACUUUCUACUGCCACCCAGGGUGUUCCUGGAGACCCUGUGACACAGGGCUGGGGCUGCAGCUGCCUGUGAGCCGUGGCCAGACGCUCACAGACAGACACAUAUAAACACCCAGACUUAGACCCACAGAGCCAACACACAGAGCCAGGCAGGGGCCUCCCUCACACAGACACAGACAUAGCACACACACACACAGACUGCCCUGUACGGAGGGACACACAGACAAUGCCCAGACCUGCACAGACCUCUCCUCUCC
Manis javanica (Malayan pangolin) is the source of this 3212-nucleotide long non-coding RNA. RefSeq lists it as uncharacterized. The record is from RefSeq and is a predicted model, not a curated record. Lineage: Eukaryota; Metazoa; Chordata; Mammalia; Pholidota; Manidae.